UACAGAGGUCCCAAGCGUUGUUCGGAUUUACUGGGCGUAAAGGGUGCGUAGGUGGCGGGGUAAGUCUGGUGUGAAAUCUCCGAGCUCAACUCGGAAAAGCAUUGGAAACUAUCCCGCUAGAGGGUCGGAGGGGAGACUGGAAUUAUCGGUGUAGCAGUGAAAUGCGUGGAUAUCGAUAGGAACACUUACGGCGUAGGCAGGAUCCUGGACAAAUGUUGACGCUCAUGCACGAAGGCUAGGGUAGCGAACGGG
This 252-nucleotide ribosomal RNA is filed under the name uncultured bacterium. RNAcentral's name for it is "partial 16S ribosomal RNA". It matches the Rfam family "Bacterial small subunit ribosomal RNA", at positions 524 to 776 of the family's 1533-position model. The record is from RNAcentral.